Non-coding RNA from Loxodonta africana (African savanna elephant), 310 nucleotides. It matches the Rfam family "7SK RNA". Rfam says of the family: 7SK was discovered as an abundant small nuclear RNA in the mid-70s but a possible function has only recently been suggested. Two independent studies have found that 7SK RNA binds the CDK9/cyclin T complex (known as elongation factor P-TEFb). Lineage: Eukaryota; Metazoa; Chordata; Mammalia; Proboscidea; Elephantidae. The record is from Rfam.
GGGUGUAAGAGUUUCCUGGCUGCAACAUCUGUCACCCCAUUGAUCACCAGGGUUGAUUUGGCUGAUCUGGCUGGCUAAGUGAGUGUCCCCUUUUUCCUUCACUAUUCCAUGUGUGCUUCUCCCAAACCUACGCACUCUAUCAAAGAGGAUGACCUUCCCCAAUAGAGAAGGACCAUUCUUUGGUCAAGGGUAUGUGAGUUUCUGUGCUUCUCUACUUAACCUUCUAAACAUGCUCUUCAAAAGGCCUUCCUGAUGUGCCAGCAUGCCCUGUACCAACACUCCAAGAGUGAUGAUGAUAUUUUUACUUCUU